ACAUGCCUAAAACAUAGCGUUAAUUCAUCAGAUCCCAUUAUAACUCUGUAGUUAAGCACGCCAUGGAUAUAGUAGUACUGAGAUGGGUGAUCACAUGGGACAUACUAGUAUUUUACAUGCC
Molecule: non-coding RNA, 121 nt
Organism: Picea glauca (white spruce)
Lineage: Eukaryota; Viridiplantae; Streptophyta; Pinopsida; Pinales; Pinaceae
Source: Rfam